GUCUACGGCCAUGCCACUCUGAACAAGCCCUAUCUCAUCUGAUCUUGGAAGCUAAGCAGAGUAGAGCCUAGUUAGUACUUGGAUGGGAGACCAUCUAGGAAGACCAGGUGCUGUAGGCG
RNAcentral lists this ribosomal RNA (119 nucleotides) under Pteropus alecto (black flying fox). Lineage: Eukaryota; Metazoa; Chordata; Mammalia; Chiroptera; Pteropodidae. The record is from RNAcentral.